RNAcentral lists this unclassified non-coding RNA (239 nucleotides) under Ascomycota sp. Its description in RNAcentral is "partial contains small subunit ribosomal RNA, internal transcribed spacer 1, and 5.8S ribosomal RNA". The stretch from base 1 to 47 matches the Rfam family "Eukaryotic small subunit ribosomal RNA", at positions 1785 to 1831 of the family's 1831-position model. Lineage: Eukaryota; Fungi; Ascomycota. The record is from RNAcentral.
AAAGUCGUAACAAGGUUUCCGUAGGUGAACCUGCGGAAGGAUCAUUACCUCUUGCCCGCGGCCCCGCUUCGGCGGGGCCCGUCUAGGCAAACCACCCGUGUCUAUGGUACCUGUCCGUCCAUCCCUCGGCGGGGAGACUCGCCGCUGGGACCCCCAACCAAACCCUUGCAUGCAAGCAUCCUACCUUCUGAAUCAAAAUCAAAUCAUCACAACUUUCAACAAUGGAUCUCUUGGUUCUG